AAAAACAUAAUUUCUUGAUAACAAGAAAUGACUCUUGCCCAGUGAUGAAUUAUUCAACGGCCGCAGUACUCUGACUGUGCAAAGGUAGCAUAAUUAAUUGUCAUUUAAUUGAUGACUUGUUUGAGGAGGGUGUAUGAGAGAAUGAGGAUUUCUUUUAACUAAAAAUUUUAAUUUUUAGGUGUGGUAAAAAUACCGCAAUUUAAUUAUAAGACGAUAAGACCCUAAAAGCUUUCUAAAGUAAAGUAGUUUAGUUUCUCUGGGGCAGAGCAUUAAAAUCCUUAAUGAUUUGGGCUGUUUUAAUUCAGUGAAUUUGGUGAAGUUACUUUAGGGAUAACAGGGUAAUUACUAUUUAGAGUACGUAUUGAAGUAGUAGAUUGCCACCUCGAUGUUGAAUUUUUAACCACACUAGGGCGGAGAGGCUCUAAUGGGUUGGCCUGUUCGGCCAUUAAAUAGGCACAUGAUUUGA
RNAcentral lists this ribosomal RNA (466 nucleotides) under Psammomacrostomum sp. 2 TJ-2015. Its description in RNAcentral is "partial 16S ribosomal RNA". It matches the Rfam family "Bacterial large subunit ribosomal RNA", at positions 1809 to 2608 of the family's 2925-position model. Lineage: Eukaryota; Metazoa; Platyhelminthes; Macrostomidae. The record is from RNAcentral.